RNAcentral lists this long non-coding RNA (1043 nucleotides) under Helianthus annuus (common sunflower). RNAcentral describes it as "hypothetical non coding rna". Lineage: Eukaryota; Viridiplantae; Streptophyta; Magnoliopsida; Asterales; Asteraceae. The record is from RNAcentral.
UUUUUAAUCAAUUUCUUUUUAUUUUUUCAUAAAUGAAGAGCCACGCCAUGUCAGCAAAAGAAUUAGUGACCAACUGUGUUGCCAACGAAUUUAGCGACGAUAAACUUCUUACUUCAUUUUUUAAAUAAAUUCCAUUUUGAAAAUGAAAAGUUGGCAAAUAAAAGAUUCAGUGACAAGAAAUCUAGCAGCAAAAUAUAGCCAUGUAGUCUUCAAAAAUUUAUAAAAAUUUGUAUUCAGCUUACCGAGAGUGGCUGAUUUAAAGGUGGUGGUGCCCCCUCCAACACUUUUGCUACCAGUUAUUAUAGUUUUUCCAAUACCAUCUCCUACUAGCAUUAUGUUCUUCAACUUUUUACCAAUUUCAAUAUUCUCCUUGUAAACACCCGCCUUAACACGAAUCACAUAUCUCCCGUUUCCUGAUCUUUUUGCCGCGGCAGCUAUGGCGGCUGCAAUCGUCUUGUAGUUACCCGAACCAUCUUGAGCCACCACAACGUUGGCUUGAGGAUUUGAUGACUGCAAUAGCUUCCUAUCACCCGGCUUCAUCCAACCCGGAAAUCCAGAUUUCUGAUCAUGACUAGAUGCACCAUAUGAUGAAUUAUUCCCACCUUUGUUCAUUGCUAAAGUGUUGCUAAUCAAAGAGGACACAUUAUUGUUCAUCAACGGCCACACGUAGUCGCUUACACCUAACUCUUCGAACCCCGCCUUGCAUGUUUCGAGAUUCGUGAGUGCAGUGCUAAGCCAGGUCUGCAUGUCGACCUGGCUACACUUUUUGUAAGGAUCAACGGUUUUGUUGAUCCUCAUGAUGGUGUCUUCGUAAAGCUCUAAGCAGUCGGCCCAAGCUGCCUUCUCACGCUUGUUGCGGCAUUUUGGGCCGAGCUUUUGAGUGUGGGACCCUGCGUAUUCGGCACGUUGUAACGUGACCUUUAACAAGGCUUUCACAAAGUCGGGCUUUUGCUUGAUCGAACCGUGGUUUGAGUUAGUGCCAAGGAAAUGCUCACAGGGUUGUGGCUUAAGAAAGAUGAGAAAGAAGAAAAUUAGGAUUGUGU